CCUAAUAUGAAUGAUAAUAGCUGCAGUUGGUCGACAUUUUAACAGCAAGUUAAGGCAUUCAUGUGUUAUUCCAUUUACUUCCUGUCACCGACUUUCCUGAACUCAACAUUGUUCUCUCUGACCCCCACCCCCCAAAAAACAAACAAAAACAACCACAACUGUUGCUUACAGAUGAGCGAUACUAAAGUUUUUCCUGUCGAUAUGAUACCGUUAGUUUGUGGUACUUUUUCACUGAUAUCGACAUGGACAUGGUCAGAAGCAGAAUACCAGAAACGCUGAUGUUCAGUCUGACUCCACGGUAACAAGAACUGUUAACUUUGUCCUCAGGAUGAGACAGAGAACAAUGUGACCUACGCCACUGUGGACCACGCUCAUCCAAAGGUCUCCUCUAAGAAGAAGGUAAAAGAGGAGGAAGAUGUGGUGACUUAUUCUGCUGUAAGGACUAAAACUGAUGCAGAGGUGGACAACGAUCCCAGCAGCUACUACAGCUGUGUCAACCUACCUGAAUAAAUGGGAGGAAAUGAGACUUCUUCUGACAUCAGUGUGUUUAUUAAAGCUGCAGUCAGGAAGUGGACGGCUGAACUUUGUGCUCCACUGUUAUCACAUGUUGUUAAUCAUAUGAAAGGAUUGUAACUUUAUAAAUUAAUCUGCUUUUUAAUGCAAAGUAAAUCUAUUUUUCUGCAUGUAGCUACAGACAUUCAUCGAGGUUCUGCUGUAAUAUAACUCUAACCCUAAAAUAUUGCACAAGAAUAACCCAAUUCAUGAAGUACGGUUUGAAGUUUUGAAAAUGAAGGUAACAAAGCUGAGCCGAGAGGUGUGUGUGGA
Molecule: long non-coding RNA, 825 nt
Organism: Melanotaenia boesemani (Boeseman's rainbowfish)
Lineage: Eukaryota; Metazoa; Chordata; Actinopteri; Atheriniformes; Melanotaeniidae
Exons: 2
Source: RefSeq, a predicted model, not a curated record